GACGAACGCUGGCGGCGUGCCUAAUACAUGCAAGUCGAGCGGACUGAUUAAGAGCUUGCUCUUAUGACGUUAGCGGCGGACGGGUGAGUAACACGUGGGCAACCUGCCCUGUAGAUCGGGAUAACACCGAGAAAUCGAUGCUAAUACCGGGUAAUAUCUGAGAUCACAUGAUCUUAGGUUAAAAGAUGGCUCCGGCUAUCACUACAGGAUGGGCCCGCGGCGCAUUAGCUAGUUGGUAAGGUAAUGGCUUACCAAGGCGACGAUGCGUAGCCGACCUGAGAGGGUGAUCGGCCACACUGGGACUGAGACACGGCCCAGACUCCUACGGGAGGCAGCAGUAGGGAAUCUUCCGCAAUGGACGAAAGUCUGACGGAGCAACGCCGCGUGAGUGAUGAAGGGUUUCGGCUCGUAAAGCUCUGUUGUUAGGGAAGAAACAGUACCGAACGAACUAGGUCGGUACCUUGACGGUACCUAACCAGAAAGCCACGGCUAACUACGUG
Molecule: ribosomal RNA, 500 nt
Filed under: uncultured bacterium
Lineage: Bacteria
Description: partial 16S ribosomal RNA
Rfam family: Bacterial small subunit ribosomal RNA
Source: RNAcentral